CUACGGGUCGCUGCAGUGGGGAAUAUUGCACAAUGGGCGCAAGCCUGAUGCAGCCAUGCCGCGUGUAUGAAGAAGGCCUUCGGGUUGUAAAGUACUUUCAGCGGGGAGGAAGGGAGUAAAGUUAAUACCUUUGCUCAUUGACGUUACCCGCAGAAGAAGCACCGGCUAACUCCGUGCCAGCAGCCGCGGUAAUACGGAGGGUGCAAGCGUUAAUCGGAAUUACUGGGCGUAAAGCGCACGCAGGCGGUUUGUUAAGUCAGAGGUGAAAUCCCCGGGCUCAACCUGGGAACUGCAUCUGAUACUGGCAAGCUUGAGUCUCGUAGAGGGGGGUAGAAUUCCAGGUGUAGCGGUGAAAUGCGUAGAGAUCUGGGGGAAUACCGGUGGCGAAGGCGGCCCCCUGGACGAAGACUGACGCUCAGGUGCGAAAGCGUGGGGAGCAAACAGGAUUAGAUACCCGUGUAGUC
Molecule: ribosomal RNA, 464 nt
Filed under: uncultured bacterium
Lineage: Bacteria
Description: partial 16S ribosomal RNA
Rfam family: Bacterial small subunit ribosomal RNA
Source: RNAcentral